Long non-coding RNA from Acanthochromis polyacanthus (spiny chromis), 1929 nucleotides. RefSeq lists it as uncharacterized. NCBI's taxonomy places the organism in Eukaryota, Metazoa, Chordata, Actinopteri, Pomacentridae. The transcript has 3 exons. The record is from RefSeq and is a predicted model, not a curated record.
GUGGUUACCAAGGGCAACGGCGCGCCGAUUGGCUGCGCGCAAGUCUCAACUAACACUACUCUCUUUGUUGGAGAGGUGCAAGUUGAGGCUCCCGUGGAAGCGGAGAGCCGGAGUGCAGCAUGGAGAGACGGAGCACCGGGAUGAGCAGUGCAGCUUUCCCUCCCCUGCCUGUCUGAGCACAGUUCCUUCAUCUUUUGCAUCUGAGGAGGCUGACUGUUGCACCUGCGCCAUGGCGACGUCUUGGACGACCUGCGAUGAGAAGAAGAAAAGACAACAACAAGGCAGCGAGGGCUGCAGCUAAUGGAGAGGCUGUAAUUGUGAAUGGAGGCAUUCAUCUGGAGACGUCGUCCGUGAAUUGCGCUGCACAAUACCCAGCGCCGGGCUGCUCAGAUCACCAACCAGUCACCAAACACACACACACACACACACACACACACACACACACACACACACACACACACACACACACACACACACACACACACACACACACACUGAACCCUCAGAUCACUGGUGCUCAGAGGAGGAACGUAAUCACACCUCCGCAGAGAGAAAGACACCGAGGAGGGGAGGAGAGAAGGAGGAGAGGAGCUGGAGGGGAGGAUGGGAAGAAGAGAGGAGAAAUUAUACAAGGAGAGAGGAGGAGAGGAAGGGGAGGAGGAGGAAACGGAAUGGUGAAAUUGAUGUUUCCUACCAUUUGAUUUGGGCCAUGGAGCCCAGGAGGCAGAUCAGAUAGAGCUACAUGCACACAUCACCCAUAACACACACAUACACACUGAAAGAUACAAGCACACACUCACACACGGACACCUAUACAUGAAAGUAGGCCUGUAUGCGCAUACAUUUAAGAUUAUAAAUCCUUAUAAACAUUCAGUAUAUAACUUGUAGGAGCUCAGAGAACCAUCUCAUGAUCCUCCUGCUUCCUUAUGCUUGAAACAGUCAAACUCACAUCACACACACACUUCCACACAUUCCCUCUCCAAACAUACAGCAUUAAGUCAAAACACACAGAAACACAGCUAAAAGAGACACAACAAAGCCGACGGUAUAGAAAACCCCCCCUCAAACUCUCAUCUUGGCGAGGCGAGACGAGGCACCUGUCAGCUCGGCGGCUCCUGCUACUACAGAGAAACAUCAGGAAACAACAACUCAAUUAAACACACCAUCCCUGUUCAAUUACUGCCACAUAAUCACAGCAAUUUACCUUCACUGGCUGCACAGCCACCAAACAAACACACACUGGGGCAAACACAGUUACAGAGGCAGAAAAACACCCACACGGACAAGGCUGGAUCACAAAGACAACCAGGCUGGAGCUGUGGCUUCAUCCUACAUAUCAUGAGUGUAAACCUCACUGUGAGCUUUGUGCACGGUAAAUGGCAUAAAACCAACAUGGAGGACGUUAGCAAAGAGCCGUUUUAGUGAGUUGUUUACUUACUGUAUCUCUAAAGAAUAACUGCAUUGCCAAACAUUACAUGACAUCAUAAAUAUCUGAUUUUGUGCAGCAAAUGCAGCCGGGUACAUUCAAGGCUAAACGCUGUGUGCAAGUACAAACUUAUUCGCUUUACGAAAUAGUCUGUGACCAAGUCUGCUAAUUAAAUUGCAAAUGAAAAGGGAAUUAAAUGAAUCUGGGAAUAUCUUGCACCUUCUUGAUAAGCAGGAAGAUCAGAGAGCUCAGAAUCAUCAAUCAGUUGCCAUUAUAUCCCAUUCCAGCAUAAAAUCUUUCUCUUACAAUAGCAACCACAUUUUAUUUGUUUGCUCCUGAUAUUAUUAUCCACUGAAUGGCAAAAAUAUUUGUAAUUUUAUCUUGCCCAGAAAUCAGUUUAAUCUCAAUUAAGACAGCAUAUACUGAGCUGCCAGUUUAUGUGCUUAGCCAAAAUAAAUGCAGUCUACGACAGCAGUCCUGCAAUAAAUCCUGUUUUUAUGAAA